This 426-nucleotide unclassified non-coding RNA is filed under the name soil metagenome. RNAcentral's name for it is "partial contains 5.8S ribosomal RNA, internal transcribed spacer 2, and large subunit ribosomal RNA". The stretch from base 1 to 120 matches the Rfam family "5.8S ribosomal RNA", at positions 35 to 154 of the family's 154-position model. The record is from RNAcentral.
GAUGAAGAACGUAGCGAAAUGCGAUAAGUAAUGUGAAUUGCAGAUUUCAGUGAAUCAUCGAAUCUUUGAACGCACCUUGCGCCUUGUGGUAUUCCACAAGGCAUGCCCGUUUGAGUAUCAUUAAAUCAUCAACUCUAAAACCUUUGUGGUUUUUUUUAGAGCUUGGUCUUGAGGGUUUUGCAGGCUUUUUUUUUUUUUCGAGUCUGCUCCCUUUAACUGCAUUAGCGAGACUUCCCUAUGCUGAACCGUCUCUUUGACGUGAUAAUUAUCUGCGUCGAAUUUUGGUUCUCGUUGGGCUUGCUUCUAAUCGUCUGUUAAAGACAAAACGGAUUUGGGUGCAUAUAUGCGCCUUUUUCCAAAACCUUUUUUUGAUCUCAAAUCGGGUAGGACUACCCGCUGAACUUAAGCAUAUCAAUAAGCGGAGGA